Molecule: ribosomal RNA, 493 nt
Filed under: uncultured bacterium
Lineage: Bacteria
Description: bacterial SSU rRNA
Rfam family: Bacterial small subunit ribosomal RNA
Source: RNAcentral
GAUGAACGCUAGCGGCAGGCUUAACACAUGCAAGUCGAGGGGCAGCACGUCUUCGGAUGGUGGCGACCGGCGCACGGGUGCGUAACGCGUAUACAACCUACCUUAUAGAGGGGAAUAGCCCAGAGAAAUUUGGAUUAAUGCCCCAUAGUAUUAUUGAAUAGCAUUAUUUGAUGAUUAAACAUUUAUGGCUAUAAGAUGGGUAUGCGUUCUAUUAGCUAGAUGGUAAGGUAACGGCUUACCAUGGCGACGAUAGAUAGGGGUCCUGAGAGGGAGAUCCCCCACACUGGUACUGAGACACGGACCAGACUCCUACGGGAGGCAGCAGUGAGGAAUAUUGGACAAUGGGCGAGAGCCUGAUCCAGCCAUGCCGCGUGCAGGAAGACGGCCCUAUGGGUCGUAAAACUGCUUUUAUACGGGAAGAAACACUCCUUCGUGAAGGAGCUUGACGGUACCGUAAGAAUAAGGAUCGGCUAACUCCGUGCCAGCAGCCGAC